RNAcentral lists this long non-coding RNA (1164 nucleotides) under Sus scrofa (pig). RNAcentral's name for it is "lncRNA (ENSSSCG00005029311.1)". The record is from RNAcentral. Lineage: Eukaryota; Metazoa; Chordata; Mammalia; Artiodactyla; Suidae.
GAAUUAGGAGCUCAGAAAUUACUGGAUUUCACUUUUAAAAGAUCCAUAUUUCAUCAGUAUCAUGGAUUAUAUAGUUGUUCGUGAGGUAGCCUGAUAACCUAACUAUUAUUUACAUUGUUACUCACAUGAGAAAGUAUAUGUACAAGUUUCAGAGACCACAUCCAGUAUAUAAUAACCUUUUAAAUAGAGAUCAUUCAUAAACUGGAAUCUGCCUAGACAGCCUCUGGCCAAAAUCAAGUCCAUUUCCUCAAACUUGGCCUUUCUUAGUAUCAGAAAUUAGACUUUGACACAUUCCACAUGCAGUGAUGUUAAACAUCUUUUAUCAGCUAGCUUUUUCUCUGUUGAGAAGUAAGAUCCACUUAUCAUCUGAUGUUAUGGCAGCCUCAGGGCUGAUGACUGAGCUCUGGAGUAUAUGCUGAACCCAGCACUGAAAAGCACUCUAGAUAAGAAAACUUUAUGGUUUGUUGACUGGUUUAUGGUAACCAGUCUGUCCACAGUUUGGGUCUUAAUUUUAGAUUUUACUGACCACCAUACACAAAGUAAGUUUGGGGAAAUUUUUUGUGUAAAUUAUGCCUAAAAUAGAUCCCAUGCUUCUUUAGGUUUUAUGCAUUUUCUCAAAAUACAGGCUCAAGUUUCAUAGCAGAUGAUUUGCUCUUCUUCUCUACCAUGAAAGAUUGAGUUUGUUGUUGAUAAAGCAAACUGUCUUAUGUGAAAACACUGUAAAUUGUAAAGUAUUGUACAAUAAAAAAUUUAAUUAUCUUAGACCUUGGUUUGUUAUGUAAUUUAUACAGAUAAAGAUAAACUUUGCCUCUUCUCUGUUCUUCCAUUUAUAGGAGCCAGGCUAAAUGGGAACUUCCAUAUGCUGUGUGUGAGGCCAUGGAAAGCUAAAUAAAUAAAUAAAUAAAUAAAUAAAUAAAUAAAUAAAUAAAAUGUUGUUUUUGUUAGGUAUGAUGAGGCCUGUUAGAAAGAUCAUUUAUUACUCACAAAAGGCAGAAGGCAAAGAGAGCUAGGGGAAGUGCGGGAAAGCCUUUGUUGUGGUUUUCUUGGGAAUGAAUGGGGUACUAUAGGAAUGCACAGCUUGUAGUGAAAUUAUACUGUUGUAGAAACAUGUGUCCACUAGAGGUCACAUCAUGCUUUUAUAUUGCUUCCUGUGAAACUACGGUU